RNAcentral lists this ribosomal RNA (1467 nucleotides) under Salmonella enterica subsp. enterica. RNAcentral describes it as "partial 23S ribosomal RNA". It matches the Rfam family "Bacterial large subunit ribosomal RNA", at positions 161 to 1584 of the family's 2925-position model. The record is from RNAcentral. Lineage: Bacteria; Pseudomonadati; Pseudomonadota; Gammaproteobacteria; Enterobacterales; Enterobacteriaceae.
AAUCCAUAGGUUAAUGAGGCGAACCGGGGGAACUGAAACAUCUAAGUACCCCGAGGAAAAGAAAUCAACCGAGAUUCCCCCAGUAGCGGCGAGCGAACGGGGAGGAGCCCAGAGCCUGAAUCAGCAUGUGUGUUAGUGGAAGCGUCUGGAAAGGCGCGCGAUACAGGGUGACAGCCCCGUACACAAAAGCGCAUGUGCUGUGAGCUCGAUGAGUAGGGCGGGACACGUGGUAUCCUGUCUGAAUAUGGGGGGACCAUCCUCCAAGGCUAAAUACUCCUGACUGACCGAUAGUGAACCAGUACCGUGAGGGAAAGGCGAAAAGAACCCCGGCGAGGGGAGUGAAAAAGAACCUGAAACCGUGUACGUACAAGCAGUGGGAGCACCCUUCGGGGUGUGACUGCGUACCUUUUGUAUAAUGGGUCAGCGACUUAUAUUCUGUAGCAAGGUUAACCGUAUAGGGGAGCCGGAGGGAAACCGAGUCUUAAUUGGGCGUUAAGUUGCAGGGUAUAGACCCGAAACCCGGUGAUCUAGCCAUGGGCAGGUUGAAGGUUGGGUAACACUAACUGGAGGACCGAACCGACUAAUGUUGAAAAAUUAGCGGAUGACCUGUGGCUGGGGGUGAAAGGCCAAUCAAACCGGGAGAUAGCUGGUUCUCCCCGAAAGCUAUUUAGGUAGCGCCUCGUGAAUUCAUCUCCGGGGGUAGAGCACUGUUUCGGCUAGGGGGCCAUCCCGGCUUACCAACCCGAUGCAAACUGCGAAUACCGGAGAAUGUUAUCACGGGAGACACACGGCGGGUGCUAACGUCCGUCGUGAAGAGGGAAACAACCCAGACCGCCAGCUAAGGUCCCAAAGUCAUGGUUAAGUGGGAAACGAUGUGGGAAGGCCCAGACAGCCAGGAUGUUGGCUUAGAAGCAGCCAUCAUUUAAAGAAAGCGUAAUAGCUCACUGGUCGAGUCGGCCUGCGCGGAAGAUGUAACGGGGCUAAACCAUGCACCGAAGCUGCGGCAGCGAACGUAUCACCCAAGACAACUUUACGGAGUUGACGAUUGACGGAGCGAAGCGACGUCAAAGCGUUCAUUAAAGUCGAGUUGGCUUAGGGAUACGUUCGUUGGGUAGGGGAGCGUUCUGUAAGCCUGUGAAGGUGUGUCGUGAGGCAUGCUGGAGGUAUCAGAAGUGCGAAUGCUGACAUAAGUAACGAUAAAGCGGGUGAAAAGCCCGCUCGCCGGAAGACCAAGGGUUCCUGUCCAACGUUAAUCGGGGCAGGGUGAGUCGACCCCUAAGGCGAGGCCGAAAGGCGUAGUCGAUGGGAAACGGGUUAAUAUUCCCGUACUUGGUGUUACUGCGAAGGGGGGACGGAGAAGGCUAUGUUGGCCGGGCGACGGUUGUCCCGGUUUAAGCGUGUAGGUGUGUGUUCCAGGUAAAUCCGGUUCACUUUAACACUGAGGCGUGACGACGAGGCACUACGGUG